AUGCCGAGUAGCAGCGACAUCAUUCAUGCUUCAGGCGAUGUAUCUUCAUCUGAUUCCGACAACCCUAGGUCUUCAGCAGAUGAUGAAGGAUCAAGUAAUCUGGAAUUGGAUAGAGCUGCAGAAAUUACCCUUCCGUUCAGGACACGGAGGAACGCUCCAAGAAAACCCACACACCAGCCUAAAGGUAUAUAUGAAGUAACCGGCAUCGAUUUAAAGUCUUGGGCUCCAACUACCAUUGUUGGCAGGGCAAGACUCAACAUGCAGGGGUUUCGGAAGGCUGACACAAAAACACGACAAAGGAUAGUCCGGGAGAUCAUGAAUCACUUCAAACGUUCCAAAGCAGUGGAGAAGGCAGGUGGAACACGUUGCACUGAAUAA
This 378-nucleotide ribosomal RNA is filed under the name Triticum aestivum (bread wheat). RNAcentral describes it as "partial small subunit ribosomal RNA". The record is from RNAcentral. Lineage: Eukaryota; Viridiplantae; Streptophyta; Magnoliopsida; Poales; Poaceae.